UGGGUGGUAUAUUUCAUCUAAAGCUAAAUAUUGGCCAGAGACCGAUAGCGCACAAGUAGAGUGAUCGAAAGAUGAAAAGCACUUUGGAAAGAGAGUUAAACAGUACGUGAAAUUGUUGAAAGGGAAGCGCUUGCAAUCAGACUUGCACUUGACGUUCAGCUUUGUCUCGACAGAGUGUACUUCGUCAAGUUCAGGCCAGCAUCGGUUUGGGUGGUUAGAUAAAGACCAAGAGAAUGUGACCCUCUUCGGGGGGUGUUAUAGCUCUAGGUGCAAUGUAGCCUACCUGGACCGAGGACCGCGCUUCGGCUAGGAUGCUGG
Molecule: ribosomal RNA, 318 nt
Filed under: Ovulinia azaleae
Lineage: Eukaryota; Fungi; Ascomycota; Leotiomycetes; Helotiales; Sclerotiniaceae
Description: eukaryotic LSU rRNA
Rfam family: Eukaryotic large subunit ribosomal RNA
Source: RNAcentral